Molecule: long non-coding RNA, 1948 nt
Organism: Drosophila montana
Lineage: Eukaryota; Metazoa; Arthropoda; Insecta; Diptera; Drosophilidae
Exons: 3
Source: RefSeq, a predicted model, not a curated record
GGAAACCAGUUGCCAGUUAACAAGGAUAUGAAACCGGACUGCAGUCAACGCCACAGUUUUAAUAAGGCUCAACGCGUGCCAGGACGCUAAAUGGCCAUCGAGGAGCUCAUCAUCCACCAAAACUUGAUCCUUUCAGUGCCUGUGCGUAAUUUACAUAAUAAAAUGUUUACUGUUUUUUUUAUGAGUCACCCACACACCCACACACCCACUUACACAUACACAACCACACAUCAGUUUCAAGUCUCGAUCCCAGCAUGAAAAAUUGCAUAUUAAUGUAAAUCACAGCGGCAAAAAUGUUCAUAGGGUUGUCGCCAUUUUUAUGAGUGCUACUACAAAAUUGACACUCGAAUCUCUAAACGCCUACACAACAAUAAAAAACAUACAAAAAAGAAAAAAAUGUUGAAAUACUGAGUGCUCGACUAGGAGAUACCAUAUAAGCUAAACAUGCCUAUAUUAUUUACCUUGAGUCCGAGGAAGAUAUUAUCGCCAGGAAGAUAGUGUGACGCCAAUACAUUGACAUCUUUCUCAGAUAAACAAAUAAUGGCAAAAGGGAAAAAAUAAAUUCUCUAUGUGUACAAAUCUCCAAAGGGACGCUUAUAUCUAUCUCCCAGCCAAAAGGAGGAACAGAAGAAAUAUAGUUAUAUCCAGAAAUAUUGCAGAAGGUAAACCUACGAGCAGGCUAAGCUUCAAGUAGUUUUUCGGCACUUGUUAAAACACGAUGCGCCCACAAAGGACACCGCUCAUUAAUCCGCAGGAAAUACAGGACAUCAAAGGCGCCUGCUUCUGCCCGCAUAGCCUGCGCCUAAUUAAAUAUUGACAAAUCAAUUUGAGUUAAACGAUUUGUGCGCAGCUGCGAACACGAGGACAGGGACAUUAGCGAUACCCUUGCAGCCGCCGACGACUUUGGCCAUUGGCGAAAGACAAACAAAGCUGCGAUUCGCUUACGACUUGAUUUCAUUUUAAUCGAUUUAAAUUCCAUUUGACUCCUGGCCAUUUGUACAGCCAUUUUUUCUUGCACGCCAGCCAGAACGACAGCCGGAUGGAGGAGCAGCCAAUGAAAAACCUUUUCACAUGCAAAUUUUUGGUGAGCAAACAUCACGUAGAGCCAUCAUCAAUAUGGCGCUAGCUGGGAGAGGAAGGGCACUUUGAUUGCCAUACGAUUGGCAUGUGAUUUUUAUGCUCGUAGCAACUGCUUUGCAUUUCAUUCUGCAUUUGAAUUCGAUUUGAUAAAUUUUAUGCUGAUUGGAAAACGCUGCUUAAUGUGUCCCCAGACGCUGCUCCGUCCGGGGAAUUUAAUUUGAUUUCUCGCUCUUGCAUUAUUUUCCAAGGUGGCCCAUUAUUGACUAUUAAUGUGAACGGAGAAUGCGAACAGUAAUCCCAAGCACCCGAGCCCCCACCAAUGCCAAACAAUGCUCCCUGAUGAAUGCAUUCGGCGCAUGCAGUCCCAUCAAAUUGGCGAUCCAGGCAUAGCCCAGGCUCUGUGGCGUCCCACAAAUUGCCGUGCGCCUCGCUGAUGUCUUCAUAACACACAUACCAACAAGCUAAGCGGUCAACUGGCUAACUGGCUUCGAUGCUUGGCUCCUCUCUGCUUACCAGUCCAUAUACAGAGCUCAGUUCGAUUACGUUUUCGUUAAAUGUAAAAUUUAUACGCCUCACGUCAAUUGUGACAGUUCACUCACUCACAUUGCAGCCAGCAGCGACAGGCGAUUCAUUGAAUGCCCAGGCAGACUUUGCAACCAAACUGGCCAACGAAUUUGUGAAUAUUACACCUACAGUGCUCACCCGCUAGGAAGGAUGUUACUCAUGAGAAACUCUCUAAUGAAAAUUCACUUGCAAUCUCAGAUUUUGUUUCCCAGAAAAGAUGGGAAAAAUCUAGAGGAUCACAAUUUUGUUUGUUAUUGGUUAACUGCUAUCAAUAACUACUGAAAAUAGAUUGAAAAGCAUAGCA